Molecule: ribosomal RNA, 473 nt
Filed under: uncultured bacterium
Lineage: Bacteria
Description: partial 16S ribosomal RNA
Rfam family: Bacterial small subunit ribosomal RNA
Source: RNAcentral
GAUGAACGCUAGCGGCAGGCCUAAUACAUGCAAGUCGAACGGGCGGUAGCAAUACCGCUAGUGGCGCACGGGUGCGUAACGCGUAACCAACCUGCCCAGAUCUGGGGGAUAGCCCGCCGAAAGGCGGAUUAAUACCGCAUAAACCCACAGUGUGGCAUCACAUAAUGGGUAAAGAUUUAUCGGAUCUGGAUGGGGUUGCGUAGCAUUAGCUAGUUGGCGGGGUAAUGGCCCACCAAGGCGACGAUGCUUAGGGGACCUGAGAGGGGGAUCCCCCACACUGGCACUGAGAGACGGGCCAGACUCCUACGGGAGGCAGCAGUAGGGAAUAUUGGGCAAUGGGCGAGAGCCUGACCCAGCCAUGCCGCGUGCCGGAUGAAGGCCUUCUGGGUUGUAAACGGCUUUUCUCAGGGAAGAAAACGGGGAUGCGUCCUCAACUGACGGUACCUGAGGAAUAAGCACCGGCUAACUCCGUG